AUGAACGCUGGCGGCGUGCCUCAUACAUGCAAGUCGAGCGAACGGACGAGAAGCUUGCUUUUCUGAUGUUCGCGGCGGACGGGUGAGUAACACGUGGAUAACCUACCUAUAAGACUGGGAUAACUUCGGGAAACCGGAGCUAAUACCGGAUAAUAUUUUGAACCGCAUGGUUCAAAAGUGAAAGACGGUCUUGCUGUCACUUAUAGAUGGAUCCGCGCUGCAUUAGCUAGUUGGUAAGGUAACGGCUUACCAAGGCAACGAUGCAUAGCCGACCUGAGAGGGUGAUCGGCCACACUGGAACUGAGACACGGUCCAGACUCCUACGGGAGGCAGCAGUAGGGAAUCUUCCGCAAUGGGCGAAAGCCUGACGGAGCAACGCCGCGUGAGUGAUGAAGGUCUUCGGAUCGUAAAACUCUGUUAUUAGGGAAGAACAUAUGUGUAAGUAACUGUGCACAUCUUGACGGUACCUAAUCAGAAAGCCACGGCUAACUAC
RNAcentral lists this ribosomal RNA (493 nucleotides) under uncultured bacterium. RNAcentral's name for it is "partial 16S ribosomal RNA". It matches the Rfam family "Bacterial small subunit ribosomal RNA", at positions 29 to 504 of the family's 1533-position model. The record is from RNAcentral.